CCGCGCUGUCGGAUAUUGGGCGUAAGCGCGCGCAGGCGGUUUCUUAAGUCUGAUGUGAAAGCCCCCGGCUCACCGGGGAGGGUCCAUUGGGAAAAACUGGGGGAAACUUGAGUGCAGAAGAGGAGAAGUGGAAUUUCCACGUGUAGCGGUGAAAUGCGUAGAGAUGUGGAGGAACACCAGUGGCGAAGGCGACUCUCUGGUCUGUAACUGACGCUGAGGCGCGAAAGCGUGGGGGAGCGAACAGGAUUAGAUACCCUGGUAGUCCACGCCGUAAACGAUGAGUGCUAAGUGUUAGAGGGUUUCCGCCCUUUAGUGCUGCAGCAAACGCAUUAAGCACUCCGCCUGGGGAGUACGGUCGCAAGACUGAAACUCAAAGGAAUUGACGGGGGCCCGCACAAGCGGUGGAGCAUGUGGUUUAAUUCGAAGCAACGCGAAGAACCUUACCAGGUCUUGACAUCCUCUGACAACCCUAGAGAUAGGGCUUCCCCUUCGGGGGCAGAGUGACAGGUGGUGCAUGGUUGUCGUCAGCUCGUGUCGUGAGAUGUUGGGUUAAGUCCCGCAACGAGCGCAACCCUUGAUCUUAGUUGCCAGCAUUCAGUUGGGCACUCUAAGGUGACUGCCGGUGACAAACCGGAGGAAGGUGGGGAUGACGUCAAAUCAUCAUGCCCCUUAUGACCUGGGCUACACACGUGCUACAAUGGGGCAGAACAAAGGGCAGCGAAGCCGCGAGGCUAAGCCAAUCCCACAAAUCUGUUCCUCAGUUCGGAUCGCAGUCUGCAACUCGACUGCGUGAAGCUGGAAUCGCUAGUAAUCGCGGAUCAGCAUGCCGGCGGUGAAUACGUUCCCGGGCCUUGUACACACCGCCCGUCACACCACGAGAGUUUGUAACACCCGAAGUCGGUGAGGUAACCUUUUGGAGCCAGCCGCC
Molecule: ribosomal RNA, 928 nt
Filed under: Bacillus licheniformis
Lineage: Bacteria; Bacillati; Bacillota; Bacilli; Caryophanales; Bacillaceae
Description: bacterial SSU rRNA
Rfam family: Bacterial small subunit ribosomal RNA
Source: RNAcentral